GUCUGAAGAUCAUUCUCCUUGACAGAGAAGACGGAAGCAAAAUAGCAAGUAUAAAAAUUUGAUGAUGGUGCUAUUUACAGGAAGGUAAGAUACAGUCAUGUUCCGUAGAAGUCUUCACAUACGAAUGGAAUCUCUAAGGAAUAUGAAAUGGUCUCCUGUCACAGUCAAGCCUGAGGUAUAAAAGCAUUAUUGUCUUUUCAUGUUAUCAAUGCUGGGAAUUUUGGACCACAGGCCAACAGGGAA
This is a long non-coding RNA of Sarcophilus harrisii (Tasmanian devil), 243 nucleotides long. RefSeq lists it as uncharacterized. NCBI's taxonomy places the organism in Eukaryota, Metazoa, Chordata, Mammalia, Dasyuromorphia, Dasyuridae. The transcript is spliced from 2 exons. The record is from RefSeq and is a predicted model, not a curated record.